GCCCUUAUCUUUAAGUCUUUCAGUUAGCUUCGCCAUUUCAGCCUAUUCCAUCAACUUUUCUUGCCAGUGUUCUUUCGCUGGUUUUUGAUUGCCUUUCCAUUUUGAGCUAGUAAAAUUCCGGCCGCUGUUGUCACAUACAUGAAUAGAUUUUCCUUAUCUUUUGGUAAAUCCUUCCCUAAAGUACCUAAUAAAAAUGCUUCUGAUCUUUUAACAAAGGUUAUCUUAAAACGUUUUUUUCAUUUCAUUAUAGAUCAUCUCCCAAUAGGUGGAGCCAGGUGGGCCUAGGUCCAGGGGGAGGGGGGUUGCCACGGUGACAAGGACCGGUAAAAGCCACAGACUUGCAGGCGGCCAUUUUGGGUUAGCAGUGAGGCAAGUGGAGGAGAGAGCAGUUGGUGGCAGUUGACAGAGGACAAGGCGAGGCAAACAGUGGAUUCUUAUUUUCUCAGUUUCUUAUUUUGCUUCUUAUUUCAUUUAUUACUUGUUUUUCUCUUCUUGAAGAUGUGCCACAGGCUUUCGUCAUCCAGCAAUGGUGAGUAUUGGAGGAAACAAGAGUAGGGAGAGAAUAGCUGUCAACGUUUCCCUUUUUUGAAGAGAAAUUCCCUUAUUCUGAAUAGGAUUCCUUGCAACAAAAGGAAAAAGUUGACAGCUAUGAGGGAGAGGAUCCCAAAGACCUGCUCCCCGCUGCCAGGACUCUCAGUUGUGAGGAACUGACAGCCUGACUUUUGCUGGAGCCAGAAACAAGAUUUCUUGCUCCAGGUGAUGCAGAGCUGCCAGGAAGCUGCCUUUUAAAACAGUAAUAUUUUGAGCCCGUACUUCACUUUCCCAGCAGCUCCCCAUGCCCCAGAGACACUUUUAGCAUUACAUCUCCUCUACCUGUGGCAUUGUUCAGGAGUGGGGAAAGUGACCUCUUCACCCCGGAUCUCCAUUUGGUAUGGCCCUUUCCAGGUUUUUGCCUGUUCAUUGUGUUUGUCUUUCAUUUGUUCUCCUCUGUGUGUUGCCAGUACAAGCCACAAUUCUGUGGGUACUCUAGGUGGCGCAGAAAGCACCUAGAAGCUCCCUAGAGGUUGACGUGCCGAUCAAACUUCAGUUUUGAGCUCUUUAAAUUCCAAUUAGCAGUACUGGGGGUGGUUCAGAUUCUGGGGCAGUGCUUUUGUGCAGCAGAGGGUGUCACAGGGCCAGCCUACUUUCCCUUUAAAGCAAACUUGGGUCUCCAGCUGGUUUUGGACUACGGCUCCCAUCAUCCCUAGCUAGCAGGACCAAUAGGGAGGGAUGAUGGGAGCUGUAGUCCGGGAGCUGCUGGGGACCCAAGUUUGGGAAAGCCUCUUUUAAAGAAACUUUUGCGUUUUGCCCGGAAAGAUGGGACCUGUCCACGUUUGUAUUUUCUUGUAUUUUGUUUUCUUCGUGACCUUUGUGCGUUUAUUUUUUUAUUUUUUAAGAGGGCAAAUUGAAAGAGAAAUUGUAUGGCAAGUUGCAGAAGAAUAAAAG
Molecule: non-coding RNA, 1485 nt
Organism: Podarcis lilfordi (Lilford's wall lizard)
Lineage: Eukaryota; Metazoa; Chordata; Lepidosauria; Squamata; Lacertidae
Source: the annotation of a GenBank genome assembly